RNAcentral lists this transfer RNA (69 nucleotides) under Urocitellus parryii (Arctic ground squirrel). RNAcentral describes it as "Spermophilus parryii (Arctic ground squirrel) tRNA". It matches the Rfam family "tRNA". Rfam says of the family: Transfer RNA (tRNA) molecules are approximately 80 nucleotides in length. Their secondary structure includes four short double-helical elements and three loops (D, anti-codon, and T loops). The record is from Rfam by way of RNAcentral. RNAcentral also lists the same sequence under 2 other names. Lineage: Eukaryota; Metazoa; Chordata; Mammalia; Rodentia; Sciuridae.
GGGGAUGUAGCUCAGUGGUAGAGUGCUUACUUUGCAUGUAUAAUGCCUUGGGUUCAAUUCCCAGCACCA